CAGUGGGGCAUUUUCAUCAGGACCUACUUGAGCUGGGAGGUCAGCGUCUCCCUCUCCGUAGGCUUCAAGACCAUGGACUUCCCCGCCGUCACCAUCUGCAAUGCUAGCCCCUUCAAGUAUUCCAAAAUCAAGCAUUUGCUGAAGGACCUUGACGAGCUGAUGGAAGCUGUCCUGGAGAGGAUCCUGGCUCCUGAGCUAAGCCAUGCCAGUGCCACCAGGAACCUGAACUUCUCCAUCUGGAACCACACACCCCUGGUCCUUAUUGAUGAACGGAACCCCCACCACCCCAUGGUCCUCGAUCUCUUUGGAGACAACCACAAUGGCUUAACAAGCAGCUCAGCAUCAGAAAAGAUCUGUAAUGCCCAGGGGUGCAAAAUGGCCAUGAGACUAGUAAGUAGUCCCUGGGCACAUAUCAAGCAAUGGGCCCCACUCAGUGAGGCUGAUGGGUAUUUCUUUUCCGUAGUAAUUUGAGUCUCGCUGGGGAAAGACAAGAUGAAAGCCAGAGCCUGUUUUGCUUGUUUGCAGAGAUUUUAAAAAAAUAGAAAUUGUUGGCAUGUUA
This 559-nucleotide small RNA is filed under the name Pongo abelii (Sumatran orangutan). RNAcentral's name for it is "retained intron". The record is from RNAcentral. Lineage: Eukaryota; Metazoa; Chordata; Mammalia; Primates; Hominidae.